Molecule: ribosomal RNA, 430 nt
Filed under: bacterium
Lineage: Bacteria
Description: partial 16S ribosomal RNA
Rfam family: Bacterial small subunit ribosomal RNA
Source: RNAcentral
UGGGGAAUAUUGGUCAAUGGGCGAAAGCCUGAUCCAGCCAUGCCGCGUGUGUGAAGAAGGCCUUUUGGUUGUAAAGCACUUUAAGCGAGGAGGAGGCUACUUGGAUUAAUACUCUAGGAUAGUGGACGUUACUCGCAGAAUAAGCACCGGCUAACUCUGUGCCAGCAGCCGCGGUAAUACAGAGGGUGCGAGCGUUAAUCGGAUUUACUGGGCGUAAAGCGUGCGUAGGCGGCUUUUUAAGUCGGAUGUGAAAUCCCUGAGCUUAACUUAGGAAUUGCAUUCGAUACUGGGAAGCUAGAGUAUGGGAGAGGAUGGUAGAAUUCCAGGUGUAGCGGUGAAAUGCGUAGAGAUCUGGAGGAAUACCGAUGGCGAAGGCAGCCAUCUGGCCUAAUACUGACGCUGAGGUACGAAAGCAUGGGGAGCAAACAGG